Molecule: ribosomal RNA, 481 nt
Filed under: uncultured bacterium
Lineage: Bacteria
Description: partial 16S ribosomal RNA
Rfam family: Bacterial small subunit ribosomal RNA
Source: RNAcentral
AUUGAACGCUGGCGGCAUGCUUUACACAUGCAAGUCGAACGGUAACAGGCCGCAAGGUGCUGACGAGUGGCGAACGGGUGAGUAAUGCAUCGGAACGUGCCCAGUCGUGGGGGAUAACUACUCGAAAGAGUAGCUAAUACCGCAUACGAUCUAUGGAUGAAAGCGGGGGACCGUAAGGCCUCGCGCGAUUGGAGCGGCCGAUGUCAGAUUAGGUAGUUGGUGGGGUAAAGGCUCACCAAGCCAACGAUCUGUAGCUGGUCUGAGAGGACGACCAGCCACACUGGGACUGAGACACGGCCCAGACUCCUACGGGAGGCAGCAGUGGGGAAUUUUGGACAAUGGGCGCAAGCCUGAUCCAGCAAUGCCGCGUGCAGGAAGAGGGCCUUCGGGUUGUAAACUGCUUUUGUACGGAACGAAACGGCUCUGGUUAAUACCCGGGGCUAAUGACGGUACCGUAAGAAUAAGCACCGGCUAACUACGU